This is a long non-coding RNA of Wyeomyia smithii (pitcher-plant mosquito), 222 nucleotides long. RefSeq lists it as uncharacterized. The transcript is spliced from 2 exons. The record is from RefSeq and is a predicted model, not a curated record. Lineage: Eukaryota; Metazoa; Arthropoda; Insecta; Diptera; Culicidae.
CUGUUAAAGGAGCAGGUGUCGCAGUUAAUUAUCAUUAUGGAGAAAUCUGUGAUAUUCAGAUUAAUCAGAAAUAUUGAGUUACCGACUUGCUUCGCAGGAUGAAGGUUGCAGAGUGAUGGAUGUUGUUUUAUUCCCAGGAAGCAACACAACUCUCCCGUUCCUACCAAUUAGUUGAAUCAUUUAACUUAAUAAUUAAUGAAAUUAUACGGAUAAUCAAUUGUU